GAUGAACGCUGGCGGCGUGCUUAAUACAUGCAAGUCGAACGGACAGGCGAUGCUUUUGCGCGGCGCUCGUGUGGCGAACGGGUGUGUAUAACGCGUGUAACACGUACCUGUCUUUGGGAUAUCACUUGGAAAAUCGGGCUCUAAUCGGAUAGGAGCUCUUGCUGCAUGGUGGGGGUUGGUAAGUUUCGGCGGUUGGGGAUGGACUAGCGGCUUACCCGCUUCUUGGUGGAGUAGUGGCUUACCAAGGCUUCGACGGAUAGCCGGCCUGAGAGGUGGACCGGCCACAAUGCGACUGAGGUACGGCGCAGACGCCUACGGGAGGCAGCAGGCGAGAGUAUUACGCAGUGGGCGGAAGCCUGAUACGGCAGCGCCGCGAGCGUGAUGACGGCCUUCGAGGGAUAAACCGCUGUGUCCUGUGACGAGGCGGGAGUGACGGUAAUGAAUAAGGAAGCACCGGCUAACUACGUG
This 468-nucleotide ribosomal RNA is filed under the name uncultured bacterium. RNAcentral describes it as "partial 16S ribosomal RNA". It matches the Rfam family "Bacterial small subunit ribosomal RNA", at positions 28 to 507 of the family's 1533-position model. The record is from RNAcentral.